UUUUUUUUUUUAAUAUGGAUCUUUCUUUUUUUUUUUUAAUUAUAUGGAUGGUAAAGAGGGGCCUGGAUUCAAGAAAGAUAGAAGUAGAAUUUUGUGAAGAAAAUGGUAGAUGAGAAAGAUGGAAUGAAAAGAUAUACCGGAAGAGUAGCUCUGAUACCACUUUGAUGCGCCCUAAGGAACGAACACUCGACCGGUAAGGAAAGAUAUGGACUCGAUCCGAAAGGAACGAGAACUGAUGGGAUGAACGGUGACACAGAGGGUUGCGGAUGUCCCAAUGAUACUACCAGGGUGCUUGAUUAUCGCCUGAUAUGACUCACAGGUCCGACAAGGAAGGAAAACUCGAUCUGUUGCCGGAUG
This 357-nucleotide long non-coding RNA is filed under the name Brassica napus (rape). Its description in RNAcentral is "long non-coding RNA (BNAP_LNC020810)". Lineage: Eukaryota; Viridiplantae; Streptophyta; Magnoliopsida; Brassicales; Brassicaceae. The record is from RNAcentral.